RNAcentral lists this ribosomal RNA (377 nucleotides) under uncultured bacterium. RNAcentral describes it as "bacterial SSU rRNA". It matches the Rfam family "Bacterial small subunit ribosomal RNA", at positions 30 to 409 of the family's 1533-position model. The record is from RNAcentral.
AUUGAACGCUGGCGGCAUGCCUUACACAUGCAAGUCGAACGGCAGCACGGGGCAACCUGGUGGCGAGUGGCGAACGGGUGAGUAAUGCAUCGGAACGUGCCAUUGAGUGGGGGAUAACGUAGCGAAAGUUGCGCUAAUACCGCAUAUUCUGUGAGCAGGAAAGCAGGGGACCGCAAGGCCUUGCGCUCUUUUGAGCGGCCGAUGUCAGAUUAGCUAGUUGGUGAGGUAACGGCUUACCAAGGCGACGAUCUGUAGCGGGUCUGAGAGGAUGAUCCGCCACACUGGAACUGAGACACGGUCCAGACUCCUACGGAGGCAGCAGUGGGGAAUUUUGGACAAUGGGCGCAAGCCUGAUCCAGCCAUGCCGCGUGAGUGAA